This is a long non-coding RNA of Mesocricetus auratus (golden hamster), 430 nucleotides long. RefSeq lists it as uncharacterized. The transcript has 4 exons. NCBI's taxonomy places the organism in Eukaryota, Metazoa, Chordata, Mammalia, Rodentia, Cricetidae. The record is from RefSeq and is a predicted model, not a curated record.
AUCACUUCAGUCCUUUUCAGGGAGGAUGCUUGAAGCCCAUUUCCAGGCAGAACUGGAGGGAAUCGGUUCCAGGGUCACUGCUAUCUUGAGACCUAAGACUGCAAGACAAGCUGUGUAGUGUGAUGCGCGUAGAACAGCUGGGGAGAUGGGGCUGCCCGAGCCUUUUGAAGCCCAGAAAAUCAUGAGUGAGUGCGGACAUUGGACACCGAGCUGUUUACACUAUUGGAUUUGGGAUUUGCUUGGAUCUGAUUAUUUGAGCAGCUCUGUUGCUUGGAAACUCACAUAAAGCAUGAAGGGAAAAAAAAGGCUACUGUGGGAAAACUCACUUUGCAAGAAUCCUAUGCCUGAAGAGAUGUCUGGCUACGGCGGAAUGCUUUCCUUUGACAGGAAAAUGAACAAUUUGAUAGCCUUUAAGAAAAUAAAAGCAGUU